This is a long non-coding RNA of Homo sapiens (human), 589 nucleotides long. RefSeq lists it as uncharacterized. The record is from RefSeq and is a predicted model, not a curated record. Lineage: Eukaryota; Metazoa; Chordata; Mammalia; Primates; Hominidae. The transcript is spliced from 3 exons.
GGGCGCCACCAGGAAGACGUUUGUGGGUAGGACACGUCUGUGGUGUAUUCAGAGUGCUUGGAAAGGCAGCGUGUUGACCCACAACAGAGCAGGCGGUUGGGGUUGUUCUGCAUGGAGACACAGGGCUGGAAAACGCUAACAGAAGCAGCUAUGUCAGGUCACAUUGGAUCUGCUUGUGAGGCCCACCUGCUCUCCCCAGAAGCCUGAAGUAUGUGACCAUAACAUAUGGCAAGAAAAGAAAGCCUUUGCAGAUAUGAUUAUGUUCUCAAGAUGGGGAGAUCGUCCUGGAUUGUUCAGAUGGACCCUGAAUGCAAUCACACAUCACACAUAUUCUGUUACGAGAUGAGGAGGGAGAUUUUAGGGCACACAGAGGAGAAAGAGAUAUGAAGACAGAGCAGAGGGAGAUCAAAAAAUGUUGACCCUAAAUAUUGGAGUGAUGUGGCCACAAGCCAAUGAAUGCUGGCAGUCACCAGAAGCUGAGAGACAAGGAACCGGUUUCCUUAUGGAGCCACCAAGGGAGGGUGACAGUGCUGACACCCUGAUUUUGGCCCAUUGAUACUGACUGCAGACUUCUGGCUUCCAUAAUUGU